RNAcentral lists this ribosomal RNA (253 nucleotides) under uncultured bacterium. RNAcentral describes it as "partial 16S ribosomal RNA". It matches the Rfam family "Bacterial small subunit ribosomal RNA", at positions 524 to 776 of the family's 1533-position model. The record is from RNAcentral.
UACGUAGGUGGCGAGCGUUGUCCGGAUUUACUGGGCGUAAAGAGCGCGCAGGCGGUCGUUCAAGUCGCGUGUGAAAGCCCCCGGCUCAACUGGGGAGGGUCACGCGAUACUGAUCGACUCGAAGGCAGGAGAGGGUAGUGGAAUUCCCGGUGUAGUGGUGAAAUGCGUAGAUAUCAGGAGGAACACCGGUGGCGAAGGCGGGUCUCUGGGCCGAUACUGACGCUGAGGAGCGAAAGCGUGGGGAGCAAACAGG